CUAAGAAUAUUCCGCAAUGGACGGAAGUCUGACGGAGCGACGCCGCGUGGAUGACGAAGGCCAAAAGGUUGUAAAGUUCUUUUGCUGGGGAAGAAUAACCGCAGGAGGGAAUGCCUGUGGGAUGACAAGAACCGGCGAAUAAGCCCCGGCCAACUACGUGCCAGCAGCCGCGGUAACACGUAGGGGGGCGAGCGUUGUUCGGAAUUACUGGGCGUAAAGGGCAUGUAGGCGGCUUGGAAAGCCUGGCGUGAAAGUCUGCAGCUUAACUGCAGGGGUGCGCUGGGAACUGCUGAGCUUGAGUGACGGAGAGGGAGCUGGAAUUCCUGGUGUAGGGGUGAAAUCUGUAGAUAUCAGGAAGAACACCGAUGGCGAAGGCAAGCUCCUGGCCGAUGACUGACGCUGAGGUGCGAAAGUGUGGGGAUCAAACAGGAUUAGAUACCCUGGUAGUCCACACAGUCAACGAUGUGCACUAGGUGCUGGGGCGGUAGCUUCGGUGCCGGAGCGAACGUGGUAAGUGCACCGCCUGGGGAGUAUGCUCGCAAGGGUGAAACUC
This 553-nucleotide ribosomal RNA is filed under the name uncultured bacterium. Its description in RNAcentral is "partial 16S ribosomal RNA". It matches the Rfam family "Bacterial small subunit ribosomal RNA", at positions 355 to 902 of the family's 1533-position model. The record is from RNAcentral.